Aspergillus brasiliensis CBS 101740 is the source of this 99-nucleotide non-coding RNA. Lineage: Eukaryota; Fungi; Ascomycota; Eurotiomycetes; Eurotiales; Aspergillaceae. The record is from the annotation of a GenBank genome assembly.
AGUCACGUGGUCUAAUGGUUAUGAUUUCUCGUUCACAUCAAGUGAGUUUCUCCUUUCGAGGUGCCGAGAAGGUUCCCGGUUCGAUCCCGGGCGUGACUA